Molecule: small nucleolar RNA, 74 nt
Filed under: Chrysolophus pictus (golden pheasant)
Lineage: Eukaryota; Metazoa; Chordata; Aves; Galliformes; Phasianidae
Description: Small nucleolar RNA R38 (ENSCPIG00010002526.1)
Rfam family: Small nucleolar RNA R38
About the family: snoR38 is a C/D box small nucleolar RNA conserved across yeast, human, Arabidopsis and rice. It is encoded in the intron of elongation factor-1 gamma in both pombe and cerevisiae. snoR38 guides the methylation of 2'-O-ribose sites in 28S rRNA.
Source: Rfam by way of RNAcentral
CUGAGCCGGUGAUGAGAUGAUUGGUUAUCCCUGUCCGAAACGUUCCGCUGUGGAAGCGUGACUCUGAGGCUCAG